Non-coding RNA from Macaca mulatta (Rhesus monkey), 1495 nucleotides. The record is from RefSeq and is a predicted model, not a curated record. Lineage: Eukaryota; Metazoa; Chordata; Mammalia; Primates; Cercopithecidae.
CAGAGGUAAUGGAGGACCCAUCAUAUAGGGCCUUAUAGACCUUAACAGAACUUUGUCUUUGGUUCUAUUUGAGAUGAGAAGUUGUUGACAUCAUCUGCAUUAUGAUUUAAUAAGAUGACUCUGGGCACUGUGUUAACAAGAGACUGAAAGGGAUAAGAGUAGAAAUGGAUAACCAGUUUGGAGUCUACUGUAGCAAUUCUGGUAACAGAUGAUGAUUUGGGCCAGUAACAGCAGAAGUGAACAGAUGUGGUAGAUUAUGGUUAUAUUGUGAAGGCAAAUCUAUUUGAACUUUUUUAUGGUGUGAGAAGGAAAGAAGAAGCAUGGACGACUCUAAAGGAAACUUGAUUUGAUGUGAACUAAAAAGGGGAAGAAAAGUGAAAAGCAGGAAAAGUUCAGAGACCUGCUUUAGACAUGAUAAAUUAAAUGUACCCAUGAAACUCCAAGGGCAGAUGUCAAGAGAGCAGUUGCAUGUAUUUGUCUGGAUUUCAUGAGAAAGAUCCAGAUUGAUAAUCAUUAAUGUGUUAUUAGGACUUAAAACGAAGACGUUCAAUAAGAUUACCAAAGAAAUGAGUGUAACUAGAGAAAAGAAGAUCAUGUACUGAGCUGAGGAACACUCCAAUAUUAAAAUGAGGGAGGUAGAGUGGAAUCAGUAGACUAAGGAAUGAUCAAUAAGGAUGAUGAAAACCAGGAGAGAGUGGUGUCUUGAAAGCCCAGUGAAAAAAGCACUUCAAAAAGAAAGGAAAUACGUGAUUUAUCAGGUUGAAUGCUGCUGAAGGGGCAAAUAGGGAUUGAGAAUUUGACCUCUAGAUUUAGUAACUUGAAACCAUUGUUGACAAGAGCACCUUUGCUAAAAUGAUAGAAACAAAGACAUAAUAUGAGUGGGUUUAAAAGAGAAUGAGAAAGGAGGAACUAGAAGUAGAGACUAUAUGCCAUAUUUUUUAGGGGUUUUGUGGUAGAGGAGAGCAAAGAAAUGGAGCAAAGCUACACGGAAAAACAAGAGUAACUGCAAGAAAUCUGGACACAGUACACGAAGCAAGCCAAACUUUGAGAGAGCAGCAGAAUCAUCAAUGCCAGACAAUGACAAAAAGGAACGUAAAAUCACUGAUGCCCAUUUCCCAAUCUUAAUGCUGAUUCCUUUGAUGAAAAGGAAAGUGGAGGAUCAGAUUCAAGGACAGGAGAUCAUCUGAGCACUGAGAGGCACCUUCUGUGACUUUUGAGGCUGUAGUUGCUAAAGAAUUUCUCCAACUGGAUACACAGAUAUUUUGCCCUUUUUGGAAACUGAAGAUAAAACAGAAAAAAAUAGAAUUUUAAGAUAUAAAUAUUUCUUCAUUAACAUGUUAAUCUAGCAAAACUCACAUAAGAAUGGCCACCUGGAAUUUCAUGAAAUGUUGCCACAGAACAAUACUAAAAACUGAAUGAUUAUGCCUUUUUCCAUAUUUUAAUUAAAGCUGAAAUGAAAAUACUCACUGUUGGAAAGUAAAGAAAUUAAGCCAUA